GAAUCCGACUAGGAACCAUGAGGUUGCGGGUUCGAUCCCUGGCCUUGCUCAGUGGGUUAAGGAUCCAGCGUUGCUGUGAGCUGUGGUGUAGGUCACACAUGGAGCUCGGAUCCUGUGUUGCUGUGGCUGUGGUGUAGGCCGAGAGCUGUAGCUCUGGUUUGACUCCUAGCCUGGGAACCUCCAUAUGCCGUGGGUACAGCCCUUAAAAACAAACAAACAAACAAAAAACUUCUGUAUUUGAGUUUUGUUGGAAUUAAUGCAUUUUUGCUGUCGAUGGUAGUUUUCCAGAUGAUCCGAAGGGUGCUGGCAACUGGCAACCAGAGUAUUUGAUCAAGGACCCUAAGGCCUGCAGGGAGGAGGUGAAUCAUGGCAGAGCCACAGGGAGGCUGGAGGCACCAGUGAGUCCACAUAACAGGUGGGGUGGGGUCAAGGAAGGAAAGGACUGCAGGCACGUGAUUCCAGAAAGAGGGGGUUCCAGACGGGGCCAAGGGAGGAGCAGGGAGGUCCAGGGAGCACGAGGGCGGGAACAUACAUGGCCCUAACGUCAGAGGAAGAGCAAAGCUGGGACGGAAGCUUGCUAACACCACCUCUUACCUGGGCAGGUGUCAGCCUCCCUGGUGCACGAUGCUCACCAGUGUCGCGGCUCAGGCAUCAGGGACUCCACCAAACCACAGUUCUAACUUAAAUCCCUGUUGGUUUCCUUUACACUGAAGUGGGAGAGCAUGAAUUAAGACUGAGAGUAUUGAGAGGGCCUGUUGGUUCCUCUCAUCUUAGGUCUAAAGAUUUUCCAAACUUUCCCUAAAGCCUCAGCUCUCACAGCAUGAGCUUGGGCUCGAAAAUUGUCAUUCUGGGGAGUUCCCUUUGUGGCUCAGCGGUUAACGAACCCGACUAGGAUCCAUGAGGAUGGGUUGAACCUGCAUCUUCAUGGAUACUAGUCAGAUUUGUUUCCACUGCGCCACAAUGGAAACUCCUGGACACUCCUAUUUUUAAAAUGAGAGUUGCAAUGUACAUUUCAGGUUCUCUCUUGUGUUUUUGUUUGUUCGUGUUUUUUGUCACAUGGGCAUUAUGUGGAGGUUCCUGGGCAAGGGAUUGAACUUACAUCACACAGCAGCAACCAGAGCCCCACCGGUGAGAACACAGGAGCCUCAACCUGCUAGGCUAGCAGAGAACUCCCCUUUCAUUAUAUUUUAAGCUGAAGCUGCAGUAGAGGGCAUGGGAAUCAUUUUUGUACAUUUCUCCUUUAACACCGCCUCUUGGAGUUCCUGAUAAAUUUCAUGAAUAGGCUAAUUUUGAACCAUGUUUGCAUUCCUGGAACAAACCCCCUUGGUUGUGAAGUUUCAUUACUGAAGCACAACGUAGGAUUUGCUUUAGCAACAUCUAAAUGCCUUUCAUCCUCGGCUAGGACUUGCUGCCAGGGUUCCCCUCUCCUCGUCAGCAUUUAUUCAUCUUCCUCUUCGAGGGUUGCUCUUUUUCCUGCUAAAAACAACCUAACUUCCCCAAACCCCACCCUUCCUUUUGUUUCUUCCCUUCCCGGCAUCCGAAAUGAAUGCUUUGGGCCAGCAGGCACCAUGCACUGCCCACUCUGUCCUGGGCCCCGUGACCCAGCCCCCUGCUUUCUGCAUGCUCCCUGGCCAGGGGCAUACUCGUCUCACUUCUGGCUGACCCUCUGGGGUCCCUGUUCCCUGCCCUGACAUGUCCAUCUCCUCCCAGGGCCAUGAGUCACGUCCCUUUUCUGCUCCUCUUUCUUGUGUCUUCUCCCGCCACCGGCAGGAUCUCAGGUUGCUGACACCUGAGAUGUCCCGGCUCUUGUAUCCUGUCCCCACUUUGCCACUAGACAGACUUCACCAUCACUCCGAAUUCUAUAGAUCUGAAGUUCAUCCUCUUCCUUCCUCUCCAUCUUCCUACAUCCCACAGUUCCUCAAGACAGAGAAAACCCCUCUCAGCCUGCAUAACUCGGACUCAGAAACCCUGGACACGCCGGUUUUCCUGGACACGCUCCUCCCAGCCGCCCUUCCCCCUCGGUACCCAGACAUUCUCUUACCAGCUCUGACAACAUAAUCUCAUUCUGUCCUUCUGAGCUCUGACAACCAGAUAACUGUGAUCCCAUUUUACAGAUAGGGAAGCUGAGGCUCCAGGAAAUCCAUGCGUUACCAGAUGGGGCAUCUAUGCAUUGCAGAGCCUAGGAAGAGGCAGGGAGAUCCUCAGCAGACGCCUCCCUCCAAAGCGUGUCCCAGCUCCGUGCAGGUCUCACUGUCUCGCUUUUGUCUCUUGCCCCAUUUUCGUCCACAGUUGGUGAUGAAAUCAGACAGCCAAACACUAAGCCAAAGCCCCCAAUCUUGGUGGCACGUUAAAGAAUCAGGGCCAAGGGAAUUUCUGUCGUGGCUCAGCGAAAAUGAAUCUGACUAGGAACCAUGAGGUUGUGGGAUUGAUCCCUGGUCUUGCUCAGUGGGUUAAGGCUUUAGCGUUGCUGUGAGCUCUGGUGUAGGUCGCAGAUGCGGCUUGGAUCUGGCAUAGGCCAGCUCUGUGGCUCUGGCAUAGGCUGGCAGCUACAGUUCUGAUGAGACCUCUAGCCUGGGAACCUCCAUAUCCUGUAGGCGCAGCCCUAAAAAAGAAAAAAAGAAUUAGGGACCAGAGUGGCACAGUGGAUUAAGAACCUGACUGAAGUGGCUUGGGUCACUUCCGAGCACAGGUUUGAUCCCCUGCCUGGAUUCUGCAUUGCUGCAGCUGUGGCAUAGGUUGCAGCUGCAGCUCGGAUUCAAUCCCCAGCCAGAGAACUUCCAUA
This 2782-nucleotide long non-coding RNA is filed under the name Sus scrofa (pig). Its description in RNAcentral is "lncRNA (ENSSSCG00005022336.1)". Lineage: Eukaryota; Metazoa; Chordata; Mammalia; Artiodactyla; Suidae. The record is from RNAcentral.